RNAcentral lists this transfer RNA (23 nucleotides) under Dorysthenes fossatus. RNAcentral's name for it is "partial tRNA-Leu". RNAcentral also lists the same sequence under 6 other names. Lineage: Eukaryota; Metazoa; Arthropoda; Insecta; Coleoptera; Cerambycidae. The record is from RNAcentral.
UAAUAUGGCAGAUUAGUGCAUUG